RNAcentral lists this long non-coding RNA (1017 nucleotides) under Macaca mulatta (Rhesus monkey). RNAcentral's name for it is "lncRNA (ENSMMUG00000060523.1)". The record is from RNAcentral. Lineage: Eukaryota; Metazoa; Chordata; Mammalia; Primates; Cercopithecidae.
AAGAAAUAGAGAAUUAAAGCAAAAACUGCUUAGGCCAUCCCUGAAACCCACCUUCAAAAAAGUGAUUACCUGGAAUGACUUGACUCCCCAUUGCUCUCUACCUGGUCUUGAGCUGGAGUUGCUCUCAGUGAGCCAGGAAAAGAAGUAACCUUAAAUGUGGGGCAGAGGAGAAGUUGUGUGCUUGGUCUCAGCCUGACUGGUGGCUCCAGUGGCCAAGAGGACAGGAUAGAGUUUGGAAGAGAGGAAGAGUGCCGAGUAGGAUGGGGUGCCAAGGAGAUGCUGCUGGCGAUGGAGCAGCUGGCAUCCUGCUCUCACUGAGAUUGGCUGGCCCAGGAGGAUCCUAAUUACAGCACAACUGCUGCCUCCAUAAUCACUGUGACAGGAGCAGUGUGGGCCGGAAGGAGAUGUGAGAUGGAGUUGGUGGCUGCUGAAGAGGAUGUUGGAAUCAUUGUUCUUUGCCGAGGCUUCAUAGGGGGCUGCUGCCAGCUGCCUGCUAAGGUUUAAACAGCUGCCACCAAAAAAGGGGCCAGCCCUUCCUGCCUCAUCUCCAGAGGAUGCACCAGCCCCAGCCUGCAGGUCUGCCUCCGGGCGCUCUGGCUAGAGGGGGAUGGCAGGCUUCCAGAAAUAUCCACCAAAUGCCCUCUCUGAGCCAAGCAUUAUGUUGUGGAGAUACACAAUUAAGACAUGUAAGUCAAUUACUAUCUGCUUUGUCUCUUAAACCUAGAACAUAAAAAGUUAAUUCUUAAUUCCUUCCCCCGCCUUUUUUUUUUUUUUUUGCUCAGCUUUUAUAGCCGUCAGAAUGCUUGUUGACUCUACCUCCAAAAUAUAUAACCUGGAUCUGUUACACCAAAUCAACUGCCGUACCUACCCACCUUAGGGCCGUGCCAUCAUCACUUUCACCUCAUCUAUUACAAUUGUCACCUAGCUGGUCUCCUGGCAUACACGGUUACCUUCCUUAUCAUUUAUCUUCUAGUAGCCACAGUGAUGUUUAAAAAUAUAAAUCCUAUCAUGUCAUCU